UAUAUAUAGUUAUUAACAGUAAUAGUUAAACUAAUUAUUAUUUUAAUUAUUUAUUAAUGUAGAAUGGGUUUGAUAAAAACAACCCUGUGAAUGAUGUGGCUUAAGACAACUUUUUUUUUCAUUAAAAAAAAAUAAAUAAAUAAAAUAACUAAAAAAAAAAGUUUUUAAGCUAUUUUUUUUCUGUUAUUCCACAAUUCUUUCAUUGUAUGGACAAAAAAACAAAAAAAAAAACAGAGACACGUUUUAAAUGCCAUUUUUCUUCUGUGUUUUUCAGAAGAAAGAAAGUCUCACAGGUGUGGAACGACAUGAUAAUGAGAAAUGACACAAUUUUCAUUUCUGGGUGAACUAGUCCUUUAAAUGCCACUCAGUAUUACAGCGGGAGCUAUGAUGUGCCAGUACCAACCUGAGAGCAAAGCCCGCUAUAUACCAGGCACUGUGCCAGGAAAAGAACUGCUGUUGGUCAGAGUGGGCAGAAAGGGCGAGGAAUGUCCGUGUACCAAUGACACCCUUUCUCAUGCUGCACAACCGAGUCCUGCUUCCAGAAUAUAAAAGACAUACGCACACAUUGUGCAAACCCCUUUUUUUCCCCAGCCUGACCAUUGUGAGAACUUGUAUUCUCUCUGAUUUACUCACCCAGAAUUAUAAACCCUGACAGCUGUGCUUCACAGUUUGAUGCUGUGUCAACACUGGAUGCGAGCGGCACGUCUCCAUGUAACAAAACUCAAUAGCUCCUAUUAUAUGCAACAAAGCUGUCUACACUUGAAGGGUUCAUUACUUCAAAUUGUUGAUGCCACAAUUCUAUUUUUGCACCCAGUUCUAAAUGUUUUUUUUCUCUAGAUCUAACUUUUUGAGUGCUGUACAGCCACUCCAGCUCUGUUUUUCCCAUUUGUAUAAAAUAGUUUUAUUUAAUUGAUCAUCAUUCGAUUGCAAUGAAUUUACAUUGACAUUCAAAUGAAUUCUACCAAUACACUAAGAUCUUGUAAAAUAACUAACAGUAUAGAAAAUGAAAUUUUAUACAAAUGUGAAAACGUGCAAUAUCAGUCACUUCCAGUGUGAACAACAGGCUUGAGAAGGUUGAAGCAAAAUCUUCAGGGCUGCUUGGUCAACUUUUUCCUUGAAGCUCCUUUAAUGUCAUUGUAUUUUCCCACUGUGUACAGUUAUUCAGAUAUCAGAAAAACCAAAAUGCAAAUGAUGUGCACUGCAUACUGUUGAAGAGGAGCAGGAUGGCCGUUCCUCUGCAUUCACUGCAGUCUUUUUUUCUUUUUCAUUAUGGAACUGCUCUAUAAUGUAAUGUCAUCUAAUAACAAAAUUCAUCCUCUUUCAGAAGCCAUUUGUAUGUGCUUUUUUCCCAAGCAGUAUUCAGCAUUUAUAGUUUGGUGUUUUAUUCCAGGUAUACACAAGUGUCAGACCUCUUCCAUAAGAAUCACAUGAAUGUAUUAAUAAGUCUUAAGAAAAGACCACAGUGUCAUCAGGAAGGACCAGUAAUGGUUGACUUCUACAUCAUUUCAUCCUGGCCUGAAACUCUUGUUUGAUUUCCUGUCUAUUGUUGAUUUUUCUUGAAUGACUGUUGAUACAUGUUAUAUUUAAGACGAAUACAAAGAAAUGCGUUUCCAUAAAUUGCUGUGACACUGUACAUAUACUUUUGUAUGAAGGGUGUUUUAUUAUUAAAGACCACAGUUUAAUGAUAUAAA
This is a long non-coding RNA of Cyprinus carpio carpio, 1691 nucleotides long. Lineage: Eukaryota; Metazoa; Chordata; Actinopteri; Cypriniformes; Cyprinidae. The record is from Ensembl.